ACUCAGCCUUUCUCUUUUUGCUCUUUUCUGCCAUAGGUGUUAACACUAGACCAUUUUUCCCCUGCAUCUUUCAUCCUUUUUUCUUCCCCUCACACACUGUGGGUAGGAUCCUGCUGCACAGUUGCUCUGGAAACAGCCUUGCAACUGACAUUAGUGAACUAGCCAUAAAAACAGCUCUCAGGCCCUGCUCCUAGAUACAAAGACAAGAAAGAAGUAUUCCAAGAUGGUCCUCCUGGGAGUGGGACUUCAGGCUAUUUUAGGUCUUGCUGUAUUUCCCAAACUUUCUUCAGUGAGCAUACAUAAGUUUUAUAACACUGAGGAGUUUUAAAAUAAUUUAAAAAAAAUCUCAUCGAUUCAGAUCUACUUCAUCCAUCCGUUGCCAAUAAAUAUCUAAAGAAAAAGUCUAUCUGAAGCAUUAGCACAGUGAAUCUGCCAGGCCAAGCCUUCCUUGAAGAAACACACUCAGCUAACACAGGGCAUUUACUGCCCUAAUACAAAUUCAUUUCUCAGGCAGGUUUGAGAUUUUUUUUUUUUUUCCUCUCCUUGAAUUGGGGAUUGGGGAGGGGGGAGCACAGAAGGGAUUAUAAAUUUGAAAGUACAAGAGCAAAUUGAGUUUUUCCUUUCUUUCUUAUUUUGGCUUUUAGCCUGUCUAGAACCAAAUCAGGCAGGAAGUAGGCACAAGAAAUCCACCAGCUUUUGUCCUUUACGUCAACUUUCCUAAUGCAACUCAGCCCCUCCCACACUCCGUUCUGUGAGGUCCCAGUGAGGCAUCUGGCAGCAGGAAAACCACCAAACUGAAGCAUACUCUGUGUCCGGGUUCCCUUCACCAGUCAAAUGCCAAUUCUCUCAGGGCACAGGAAAGCAGAUUUUGAGUGCCAGAAGCAUGACCUUUGAUUCAGCUAAUUUGAUUGGAGCUACUAAAAUAACCCCUCCCUUAACCCUGCCCUUCCCAUCGCUAUCUAGUUUCUCUGACCUAGUAUCUCAUUUAAAACUCCCCAGAGCUACCGUCUUCUCUCGGUGUGCUUUGCAUUCUCACACAGCCUGGCUUCCAUCUUACUCCUCCUUCCAAGGAAUUACCCCACGGAUCAACAAUCUACUUGACGAGUCAAAGUUCAGCCCCUUGUUUACUUUGGCCCCCUGCCUGUUUGUGAACUAUUCAAUUAUUCGUUCUUUAAACCCUUAUUCCCUUGGUUUCUAUGAAAUCACACUCUCCUGGUUCUCCUGGGCUCCCUCUGAACAUCUAAACUCCUAUUUCUUCAUCUCCCAGCCUUCACUUGUUCUUCUGGAUGCUGCCCUCUCCCACUGGUAUUCUCGCCCCUACACUCUCUCAAUUGUCUGAUUCAUUCUUAGUUUCAGCCACAAUUCGUAUGCUAACUCCAGCCCAGACCUUUCCCCUCUGAUUCAUAUUUCCUGGAGGUUCGGGCCUUAACAUGGCUGUCACAUGGGCCUGAAACCCACCGUAUCCAGAGCUGAAUUCAUCUCUCAUUAGUGCUCUUUGGUUGUAAGCAACAGAGACUGAUCCUGACUAGCCCAUGCAUAGAAGAGAUGACCUGGAAGGCUUGCAAGGUGCCUCAUGGAAUCAAAGGAAUCACUGAAUAACCCAGUGUCUGAAGGCAAGAAUAGGGUCACUGCAUAGAUUCCAGGAACUGAAUGAUCAGCUUUCUGGAAAACUAUUUCUGUCCUGACAGUUGAUAACAUAUUCUGUGGUUUGGGCAGAGACCCCUACAUUUCUGCCUCUACUAGCUCCAUAUGGAAAAUUACAACUAACAGUCUACCCUUUGGAAGCAGAAAGAAAGUUAAUUACUUGGUUAGAGGUGGGAGACAUUGUCACGAUGGAAGGAACCAGCUAGCUACAUUUGACCCCAAAGCAUGUGAAAUUGAGUGAUAAACUAGCAUGAUUACAUAAAUUCUGCCUUGAUAGCAUCUUCAAAUGGUUUAUUUGGGGAGUUUUCUUUGUAGAAUCUUUCAACUCCUCAUGCGUUAGAACCUAAGAAGGGAGUAAACAAAAAUAAGUGUGAGGGAAAGAGUAGACGGGUGGGUACCAUUCCUCUCAAGAUAAAAUGAUGGUCAGGUGGACAUAGGGCCUACUUCUCUGGGGUCCCUGCUGUCCCCUUUCACAAAUUCUUCUGUGGCACCUUCAACAUUCCACUGUUUGUAACAAUUAACACAUCUGCUCCUCAGCAGGAAUAUGGGAUCCUUGAGGUCAGGAUCCUUGCAGACUUGUUCAUCUCUGUAUUUCCAGAAUCUAGUACAAAAAAAAUUUUUUUUCCUUAAAUGAAUAAUUAAAGGAAUGAAUGAAACAUUACCAGCCCCAGGAGUUCCCUUGUAGUGAAGCAGGUUAAAGAUCUGGUGUUGUCACUGUAGCAGCUUGGGUCACUCCUGUGGCACGGUUUCAACCCUUGACCCGGGAACUUCCAUAUGCCAUGGUGUGCAGUGAAAGAAAGGAAGGAAGAAAGGAAGAUUACCAGCCCUACUAACACCAAAGGUUCUUCUCCUAGGAUUUCUUUGACAGCUCAGAAUCAACUCCCUCCGGAACCAUCUGGUGUUGAUUUUCUGACCACACCUCCUAGAGGCUCCUCAGGGUCCACAGUCUAAGGUUCUUGCAGAUGUUUUAAUUACCUGGUAUUUCCUUUGUAUAUUUUAAUUUCCUUCGCGGGCAUUUAUUAAAAGCUAUUUCUAACUUACUUUAAUAACCUUUUCAUAAUUUUAAGAGUAACACAUGCCCAUUUGUAU
This 2733-nucleotide long non-coding RNA is filed under the name Sus scrofa (pig). Its description in RNAcentral is "lncRNA (ENSSSCG00000063248.1, ENSSSCG00110008127.1, ENSSSCG00160032644.1)". The record is from RNAcentral. Lineage: Eukaryota; Metazoa; Chordata; Mammalia; Artiodactyla; Suidae.